ACCGGGUAGCUCAAAUGGUAGAGUAGCCGACUUGUAUUCGGGAGAUUCUGGGUUUGAAUCCCAGUCCGAGCA
Molecule: transfer RNA, 72 nt
Filed under: Cotesia glomerata
Lineage: Eukaryota; Metazoa; Arthropoda; Insecta; Hymenoptera; Braconidae
Description: tRNA-Thr
Rfam family: tRNA
About the family: Transfer RNA (tRNA) molecules are approximately 80 nucleotides in length. Their secondary structure includes four short double-helical elements and three loops (D, anti-codon, and T loops).
Source: RNAcentral